This 477-nucleotide ribosomal RNA is filed under the name Candidatus Scalindua brodae. Its description in RNAcentral is "bacterial SSU rRNA". It matches the Rfam family "Bacterial small subunit ribosomal RNA", at positions 365 to 832 of the family's 1533-position model. Lineage: Bacteria; Pseudomonadati; Planctomycetota; Candidatus Brocadiia; Candidatus Brocadiales; Candidatus Scalinduaceae. The record is from RNAcentral.
UUCGCAAUGCCCGAAAGGGUGACGAAGCGACGCCGCGUGGGUGAGGAAGGCCUUCGGGUUGUAAAGCCCUGUCAGGAGUUAAGAAAUGUAAGUGCGCUAAUAUCGCAUUUACUUGACGAAGGCUCCAAAGGAAGUCACGGCUAACUCUGUGCCAGCAGCCGCGGUAAUACAGAGGUGGCAAGCGUUGUUCGGAAUUAUUGGGCGUAAAGAGCACGUAGGUGGGUUUGUAAGUCAGAUGUGAAAGCCUCCUGUUCAACGGGAGAAUUGCAUCUGAAACUACUGAUCUUGAGUAUAGGAGGGGAGAAUGGAACUUCUGGUGGAGCGGUGAAAUGCGUAGAUAUCAGAAGGAACGCCGGCGGCGAAAGCGAUUCUCUGGCCUAUUACUGACACUCAGUGUGCGAAAGCUAGGGGAGCAAACGGGAUUAGAUACCCCGGUAGUCCUAGCCGUAAACGAUGGGCACUAAGUAGAGGGGUUUU